RNAcentral lists this long non-coding RNA (4054 nucleotides) under Macaca mulatta (Rhesus monkey). Its description in RNAcentral is "lncRNA (ENSMMUG00000056877.1)". Lineage: Eukaryota; Metazoa; Chordata; Mammalia; Primates; Cercopithecidae. The record is from RNAcentral.
AUGACAUGGGGAACAGCCAGGACCUGGAGAGGGGGAGAAGGGCUGGGAUCUUUGCAGCCAUGUAGCACACUGGCCAAGAAAGUGUGGGGUCCUGAAGGAGAAAUGGCUCUAGAGGAAUCACCGGAGCCACUGGGCACUGCCUCCCAAGGCUUGGAAGACGGCGCAGAGGGUUCCCAGGCUGUGCUACUUUUGUUCCCUUGGAAGAAAGUCAGUAGGCAGAUGCCUCUUCUACCUCCCCCAACACUCUCUUCAACACCAGACUCCCUCUCCAGCUCACUCAGAGGAAGCUGGGAAGGUUCCAGUGGCGAGCUCCUGAGAAGCAGUGGGAAGGGCCAAGGUUACGAAGUUACCCAGGGUGUACUGCUGGAGCCCUGGGAGGAGGGGGUUGGGCAGCCGCUGGCGCUGCCGCUGGUGGUCCCUGUGCUUGAAGUGCCGGUGGUAUCGGAGUCCACGCACCCAAGGCCCAGCACUCAGCAACAUUCUGUGGCCCAGCAAAGGGGUGAGAGAUCAAAGGAGGGGCGUGGGGCAUGGAUUGCUUCUGGGCAGACCCAUGGCAAUGUGACAUGGGGUUUCCCGCCUGAGUGUUACUGACUGUGUGGCUGUGCCUGCCACGCUCAUCUGGGGGGGGGUGUGUGUGUGUCUGUGUAUGGGUGGGUGUCGGGGGGUGCACAGACGCUCUGGGUAUGUAGGGGGAUCAGCACUAGGGGGGCUUCUAGGAUUUGUCUGUGGUCUCAUUUCUGCCUUCCCUGCUCCUGGAGGGGGAGCUGUAACUCAGCCGGGAGGCCACCUAGCUGAUUCCCCUCCCCCCACCCACCAGCCGCUCACUGUGUCACAACAAGGAGCUUUGGCAGAAAGGGAGGGGAGCGUGGGUGCUGCGAAGAGAAAAACACCCCAAAGUUUCAGAAAAAAUGGCAGGAGAGAUGCCAGCACCCAGCAGCAGGAGCCUUCUGCUUCACACAGCCUGCACUGCUGGGCUCGGGGGAGACCACGGUUUCCUUUCCUUCCUUUCCCCCUCCCUGCCCCUUGCUGCGUGAUAUUCAGGAAAAGGAAAUAUUACAGUGAGGGGAGAAAGGGAACAAAGAGAUGCUUUUCAGAGCGGUCAUGGGAUCCUUCCGUAGCCACCAGAAGACAGAGUUCUGGGCUCUGCUUGCUCUGGGCAAAGUGGGGUUGUGUGUGUAUGUGUGUGUGUAUGUGUGUGUAGAAGAGAAAAAAAAGUGAGGGAACGUGUGUGUUAGUGUGUUAGUUUAUGCAUGCCUGUGAGUAAAUGUGUGUUAAUAUGUGUGUCUGUGUGAGUGUGGAUGUGAAUUGGGUGAGUGUGCAUGUGUGUGUGUUGGGAAACAGUAAAGAUACAAGCAGACAGAACAAAAAGCAUCAUAUACAAGGUUGGUUAGAUAGCUGCCCUUAGAUAGUCUACACAUGAAUACUUGAAAACUGUUUUGUGUAGUAGGUUGGCCAUUACCCAAUAUUGCGCGGCAUCAGAAUAAACAUGUAUACAAUGGAAAACCUCAAGAUUGACAAUUUUUCCUCAUGCUUUUGAAAUCAGGGUAUUUCAUUUGGGCAAUGGCUCCUUUUCUGCAGGGUAGAAACCUCAUUUACUCAAAGCUCAGAAUACAGUUUUUGUGAUCAUUUCCCCUAAGUAAGGGCUAGAGUUUCUCUUAGCAUCAUUUGCUUACAAGAUAUUUGAGUUUGUAAACAAGAUCCCAAGGGGAAUAUUUAUCCCACUCAAGAAAACAAGUUACUUUUACCUCUUUGGAGUAUCUGUUUGCAUUCCAACAAUAUGGUACUUAUAAAUCACUCCUUUCUAGCAAUUUAUUAAAGCAACUCUUAGAGGCAAUACUUUUAAAAAAUAGCAAGGCUGUAUUUUUUUUUAAUUUAGAGGCCUACAAUGAGUUUUAACAGCUUAUCUGGCUUAGUGAUGUCUAUUCACUUAUGAUUAUAAUAACUUCUUACAAUUAAUGAAUGCUCUUCAUGCACCAGACAUUGCAUUAAAUGCUUUACAUACAUGCUCUCAUUUGGUCCUGCCAGCCAGGGAAGUACUGUUAUUUUACAAUUAAGGGGUAGAGAAGUAACUUAACCAGGGUCAGGUAGGUAAUAAAUGUCAGGGCAGAACUUAAAUCUGAGUUUUGAGUCCAGAGCCCCAUGCCUUACCCUAUACGCUCAGUUGCAUUUACUUUUCUUUCUUUCUCCUUCCUUCCUUCCUUCCUUCCUUCCUUCCUUCCUUCCUUCCUUCCUUCCUUCCUUCCUUCCUUCUUUCUUCAAUCAGACUCUCACUCUGUCACCCAGGCUGGAAUGCACUGGCAUGAUCUCAGGUCAUGCAACCUCUGCUUCCUGGGUUCAAGCAAUUCUCAAGCCUCAGCCUCCCAUGUAGCUGAGAUUACAGGUGCACGCCACCAUGAUCAGCUAAUUUUUUUGUACUUUUGGUAAAGACCGGGUUUCACCAUGUUGACCAGGCUGUCUCAAACCCCUCACCUCAAAUGAUCCGCCCGCCUUGGCCUCCCAAAAUGCUGGGAUUACAGGCGUGAGCCACCGCGCCCGGCCCAUUUCUUUAUAUUUCACUGCCCAAACAUGUCCAAACAUGCAGCAUGCAGGUGCCUCCAGGUGCCUACAGAGGGCGGUCCCCACAAAAAUCCUGGCUCCUGGUCCAGACCCACUGUUAGGGCCAGUGCCUGGGCAUUAUGGGUCAGUCCAGCUCUGAGAUUUUAAUUCCUGUUGUUGGAAUGAGGGAAUAAAUCCAGCUCUGUUAGGCACUCAAUCUUUUGGGAUUUUUCAGUUUCUCUGGGGCAGCAGAUUUUUUCUUAGGGUCAUCUCUGAGAGAAGUAUGCCUGGAACAUUGGCAUGAGGAAAUCAAUCAAUGCAAAGCAUAUCAAGAGGUAUGUAUUCAGCACCGUGAAAACCAACCCAGCGAGAAUAAGCUCAGAAGGUUGUAGGAAGAGUGUAGGACUUGGAGGAAGAGCAAUGACCCUGCACUCCCUCUAGAAGGGGUGAGGGAGAGGGAGAAGGGAGGAAAAAGAAGGUGAUGAGGAGAGGUUGAGGAAGAGCAUGUGGGGUAUGUGCAGCUGGAGGAAGCAACUGGAUGAGUAAUGGAGAGCAGCUUUAUUACUUUCACUUUUUGAAAUAAGAACCAGCUUAUGAAGGUGGGGAGGGAACAGCCUGGGAAUGAAUUAAUUGAGAAAGGAAAUUAAAGCCAUCAUUUCUGCUCUGCUGACGAGCAGAUGUCAGCAUGCCUCUAGCCUCUUGCUAUAUUCAGUGCUUUUCUAGAGAUAAACAGUGGAGCUCAAAGAGGUUCCAACAGGGCCUGUACUGAACACUUGAAGGCUCUAGGAUAUUUUGGUCAUGAGAAAAGAGGGCUGGAAGUUGAGGACCAGGCUUCUAGGCUCUGAGGAUUUUUUUUUUUUCACAUGAGCUAUUUCACAAUUGCCAGUAGAUUUAACUGCAAAACUGAAGGGAAAUCAGGUAAGGAUUUAUAAAAGAGGAAAUUAAGAUGCUGGUAUUCCUACCAAGAUGACCCUAGGGAGAAAGAAAAGAGUUGGAAGCACCUUUGCCAAGCCACUGAGAAGCUAGCAUUGAGGGCAGAGAGUGCUUGAAGCAACCCAGCCUUAAAGCACUCUCUUAGAGGCAGCCAGGGCAGGGAGCAGCGGGUACAGGCAGUUCCAGCAAUAGCUGGCUGAGGAGGAUAGAGACGGAGGCUGGCUCAGCGACCUAGCCUGGGAAAGCAGCUGCUGUGCUGAAAUGCAUUAGAAGUUCUCUGCCCUGUAUCCCAGCACUUUGGGAGGCCAAGGUGGGAGGAUCACUUGAGCUCCGGAGUUCAAGACCAGCCUGGGCAACAUAGAGAAAUAUAGAUAGACCUCCUCUAUAUUUUUAAAUAUUUUUUAUAUUUAUAUUUAUAUAUUUUUUAUAUUUUUAUAUUUUUAUUUAAAUAUAGAUAGACCUCCUCUAUAUUUUUUAGAAAAUUAAUAAUUUUUUUUUUUUUUUUUUUUAACUUUCUUAGCCCUGAUAUGGAUUAGCACCAAUCCUCCUACCCAUUUUUCAGAGAUACAGCAUGCCAGUUUUUUAU